GCUACAAACAUGUCAGCAGCUGCUGUAAUACUUCGAGUGCUACACGUUUUCAUGGAGAUAUUAGGCGUGAUAGCGCCGCACAGCCGUGUUCUUCAGUCGUGAUGAUGAUAGUUCACAGCUCAUAACUGUGAGAGGUCAUUUUUAAAACUCGUGGACACUCGAGUAGUAGUAAGAGAAGAAGGCGGUAAUUUUCCCGUGGUAGUCGCUGAAGAUAUGUAGUAGAUGAUCGGAGGAGGAAUCCACGUGGUCGAAGGGUGGCUUUUUGGUGUACUAAACGACAUCGACGGAUGAGGUGAAAACGUAGGGAGGCAACACACGGUUAUUAUAUCCUCCGUGGACCACUCCGCUAAAAGAAGAGUCGAAAGUGGUAGAGGGUCUCUUGCGGUUUAGUGCUGCAAGUUACCCCUUUAACUCUCCCCCCGGGGGAUACCGUCGCCAGGCUGAAACUUAAAGGAAAUGACGGGGGGCCGCCCCAGCCGGGGGACAAUUUGUUUAAUUCGGAGGCACGCGAAGGACCUUUCCAGGUCCUGGACUUCUCUAGCAUCUCUAGAGAUAGAGCGUGCCCCUUCGGGAGACAGAGUACAGGUUGGUGCAUGGUUUCCGUCAGCUCGUGUCGUGAGAUGUUGGGUUAAGUCCGCCAACGAGCGCAACCCUUGCUUUUGGUUCCCAGCAUUCAGUCGGGCACUCUAAGGUGACUGCCGGUGACAAACCGGAGGAAGGUGGGGAUGACGUCAAAUCAUCAUGCCCCUUAUGACUUGGGCUACACACGUGCUACAAUGGAUGGUACAAAGGGCUGCAAGACCGCGAGGUCAAGCCAAUCCCAUAAAACCAUUCUCAGUUCGGAUUGUAGGCUGCAACUCGCCUACAUGAAGCUGGAAUCGCUUGUAAUUGCGGAUUCACAAGGCGCGGUGAAUACGUUCCCCGGCCUUGUACCCCCCCCCCCUCCCCCCCCGAGAGUUUGUAACACAAGAAGUUGGUGAGUAACC
Molecule: ribosomal RNA, 986 nt
Filed under: Bacillus sp. (in: firmicutes)
Lineage: Bacteria; Bacillati; Bacillota; Bacilli; Caryophanales; Bacillaceae
Description: bacterial SSU rRNA
Rfam family: Bacterial small subunit ribosomal RNA
Source: RNAcentral